RNAcentral lists this ribosomal RNA (245 nucleotides) under uncultured bacterium. RNAcentral describes it as "partial 16S ribosomal RNA". It matches the Rfam family "Bacterial small subunit ribosomal RNA", at positions 524 to 768 of the family's 1533-position model. The record is from RNAcentral.
UACAGAGACGGCGAGCGUUGUUCGGAUUCAUUGGGCGUAAAGGGUGCGCAGGCGGCCCGUUAAGUCGGAUGUGAAAUCUCAUAGCUUAACUGUGAGCGGUCAUUCGAAACUAGCGGGCUCGAGGACUGGAGAGGGGACUGGAAUGGUCGGUGUAGCGGUGAAAUGCGUAGAGAUCGGCCAGAACACCGGUGGCGAAGGCGGGUCUCUGGACAGUUCCUGACGCUCAGGCACGAAAGCCAGGGGAG